CCCUAUAACUUCCAUGAAUCCAAAGUGUCUGAGUAUGCUUUGUUAUUAAAGGAACUGGGUUUCUUCCCUUGCCCAUCUGGAUCCCCGAUCUGAAGAAUUUAGAUGGGAUGUGUGUUCAAUAGAUAGAUUGUGUAGCUAUAGAAGAACCUUAAGACCCAUCUAUGAUGGCUUCCUCAGAUAUGCUAUUUUUUCUCAUUUUUAAAUAUCAUAUGUAUAAGAGUGCUUGGGCUGCCAUAACAAAAUAAUAGACUAAAUGGCUUAAACAACCAUAAUUUAUGUUCUCAGAGUUCUACCUUGAUGUUCCAGAUCAAAGUCUCAGAGGGUUUGUUUUUCCUGAGGCCUUUCUCCUCAGCUUCCAGUUAGCAACCUACUCCCUGUCUCUUAUCCUGAUCUUUUCUCUGUGCACACACAUCCCUGAUGUUUCUCUAUGUGUGCAAAUUUCCUCAUGUUGUAAAGACACUGGCCAGAUUGGAUUAGGGCCCACCUUCAUGUCCUCAUUUUAACUUCUUCACCUAUUUAAAUUGAAGGCCCUAUCUACAAAUGCAGUCACAUUCUGAGAUACUGAGAUCUAUUGGCGGGGGCACAAUUUAACCCACAAUACUGCAUUCAUUGAUAUGUCUGAUGGACUCUUAAAAUUCUAUCUAGUGCUUUUCUUUUGUAAUAACAAAGGCUCACUCUAUAGAUGGUUGUAACACUCAGGGGCAAACCAGAGAACAUCUU
This 720-nucleotide long non-coding RNA is filed under the name Marmota monax (woodchuck). Lineage: Eukaryota; Metazoa; Chordata; Mammalia; Rodentia; Sciuridae. The record is from RNAcentral.